This 511-nucleotide ribosomal RNA is filed under the name uncultured bacterium. RNAcentral describes it as "bacterial SSU rRNA". It matches the Rfam family "Bacterial small subunit ribosomal RNA", at positions 875 to 1390 of the family's 1533-position model. The record is from RNAcentral.
GGGGAGUACGGCCGCAAGGUUAAAACUCAAAGGAAUUGACGGGGACCCGCACAAGCGGUGGAUGAUGUGGAUUAAUUCGAUGCAACGCGAAAAACCUUACCUACCCUUGACAUGGCAGGAACUUUCCAGAGAUGGAUUGGUGCUCGAAAGAGAACCUGCACACAGGUGCUGCAUGGCUGUCGUCAGCUCGUGUCGUGAGAUGUUGGGUUAAGUCCCGCAACGAGCGCAACCCUUGUCAUUAGUUGCUACGAAAGGGCACUCUAAUGAGACUGCCGGUGACAAACCGGAGGAAGGUGGGGAUGACGUCAAGUCCUCAUGGCCCUUAUGGGUAGGGCUUCACACGUCAUACAAUGGUCGGUACAGAGGGUUGCCAAGCCGCGAGGUGGAGCCAAUCCCAGAAAACCGAUCGUAGUCCGGAUCGCAGUCCGCAACUCGACUGCGUGAAGUCGGAAUCGCUAGUAAUCGCGGAUCAGAAUGCCGCGGUGAAUACGUUCCCGGGUCUUGUACACAC